GAUGAACGCUGGCGGCGUGCUUAACACAUGCAAGUCGAACGAAGAUGCCGGAGUGCUUGCACUUUGGCAGACUGAGUGGCGGACGGGUGAGUAACGCGUGGGUAACCUGCCUCAUACACAUGGAUAACAUACCGAAAGGUAUGCUAAUACAAGAUGACAUAAGAGAUUCGCAUGGAUUUCUUAUCAAAGCUUUUGCGGUAUGAGAUGGACCCGCGUCUGAUUAGCUAGUUGGUAAGGUAAUGGCUUACCAAGGCGACGAUCAGUAGCCGACCUGAGAGGGUGAUCGGCCACAUUGGAACUGAGACACGGUCCAAAACUCCUAGGGAGCAGCAGUGGGGAAUAUUGCACAAUGGGCGAAAGCCUGAUGCAGCAAACG
This 376-nucleotide ribosomal RNA is filed under the name uncultured bacterium. RNAcentral describes it as "bacterial SSU rRNA". It matches the Rfam family "Bacterial small subunit ribosomal RNA", at positions 28 to 396 of the family's 1533-position model. The record is from RNAcentral.